CUCUCUCGCACGAAACCCCCCUGCAGUCUUCAAUUUCUUCUUUUCCUUUGACCGGUCUUCUCUUUUAUCUUUUCUUCACUUGCUUCCCACGCCAGGGCAGCUGAACCCUACUCCCUCACGUCUUCUGCUUUCUUUAAUUUGCUUGGACGGAAGCAAACCCGCAGAAGCAGCCCCGCGAUUCCUCUUCUUCUCUGCCAUGCCGCACUCACGCAUGCCUCAUCCCCACCGAGAAUUUUCUUCCCUGUAGCUCACCCACGUAUUUCAUUCGGUCAGCAAAUCAGCAACUUCUUCUCAUGGUUAACUCCAGCAGCGACGAAAAGGAUUCCUCCGAGAGACCUCACGUCCCGCAAGCCCCGCAGCUGCAACUCAGCCCGGUUCCUGGUAGUUCCAUCACUGCGGCCACCGAAUCCAGUCAAACCGUGUCCAUUCAGCCACUGAUUUCAUCCCUGCAGAACCGAUUCAGCAAGGUCAGAAGCUCGGGAGCAGAAUACCCAACUCGAACAGCGAGCUUGUAGGCCGAUUUCGGCCUCGGUUUGGCCCCACUUGGCAGUCCUGCUUUGAGGUUUAUCGGCACUCGUCGCGUGCUCGUCAAUUUGAUCCCAACGGAUCUUUAAUCAAGUGAGUUUUACUCACUAAUGCCUUCUUAGUGUGCUAAUUAUACUUAAAGGUUGAUUAGUGUUAAUUAAGUGUAAUUAGGUGGUUAGAUUAGAAUUGAUUAGUGAUUUUUAGUUAAUUGCUUUGCAUAUUAGUUAUGUGAUUAGUGUAAUUAGAUAGAGAAUUGCCUAUAGUAUUUAUUGGAAGCUUCUUGGGAUUUUUCCCGUCCCUUAUCAGGUGUUAAUUAAGUAAAUCAGGCCUAGGUGGAAUUUUUAGGAAUUAAAUAUUAAUUUUCGAAAUUAAUUAUUUAAUUAUUUAUUUCCCGAAAAUUCAACUGGGAUGGCCAGUGACCGGGAUUUUAUGCUGAUGAUCGCAGUCCGUUUAUUUAAUUGAGUUUCAUAUUGUGCUAAAUUGGAAUUAUUAUGUUUAUUUAUUAAUUUUCGAAAUUAAUUAUUUAAUUAUUUAUUUCCCGAAAAUUCAACUGGGAUGGCCAGUGUCCGGAAUUUUGUGAUGAUUGUCGUAGAUCAGUCCGUUUAUUUAUUUGAGCUUUAAUUCGUGUCGAAUUGAUUUAAUGGUGCAUUUUAAGUUAUGUUAUUAAAUAAUGCAAUUUUCGCCUUGUGAUUAAGAAUUGGUCGGGUAUCGGUUGUCAGUAUCGAAAGUGAGUUGGUAAAUCACCUGGAGAAUGCAUGUGGCCUGGUGAAUUGGAAUGUCACCUGGGAAAGACACGUGGCUUGGUGAUUAGAUAUGUCAUCUUGGCGAAAAAGUAGCCUUAGAGAAUGCACGUGGCUCGGAGACUCGGUAUGUCUUCCUAGAGAAUGCACGUGGCUCGGUGACAGAGUAUGGCAUCGUAGAAAGGGGUCGAGUGGGACCAUAAAGCCACUAAAUCUUGGAAUGGUCGGGUGGGACCGUAAAGCCACUAGAUCAUGAGAGGGUUGGGUGGGACCAUAAAGCCACUAAAUCUUUAAGGGGGUCGGGUGGGACCAUAAAGCCACUAAAUCUUGGAAUGGUCGGGUGGGACCGUAAAGCUACUAGAUCAUGAGAGGGUCGGGUGGGACCAUAAAGCCACUAAAUCUUGAAAAGGUCAGGUGGGACCAUAAAGCCACUAAAUCUUGGAAAAGUCGGGUGGGAUCGUAAAGCCACUAGAUCAUGAGAGGGUCGGGUGGGACCAUAAAGCCACUAAAUCUUGAAAAGGUCGGGUGGGACCAUAAAGCCACUAAAUCUUGGAAAGGUCGGGUGGGACCAUAAAGCCAUUAGAUCUUGAGAGGGUCGGGUGGGACCGUAAAGCCUCUAGAUCUUGAAAGGGUUGGGUGGGACCGUAAAGCCACUAGAUCUUGAGAGGGUCGGGUGGGCCCGUAAAGCCACUAAAUCCAAGGAAUUGCUUGGUGUGGGAUGAAUGACCUAGAAAUGGUCCGGCUGGUAUGAAAUCGACUAAGUCGGUUAGAUCGAUGCUUCGAUCUGUGAUGUGAUUGCUUGUGUACCUAUAUGAUAUGUGCUAAUAUGCAAGUGGAAUUUGAGGCCAAGGUAAGUCCUCCGACUCAUGUUGUGCAUAGGCAGCCCUAAGGUGUAUUAGUUUACUAAUCGGGUCUUAGGGGAUAGAACUUGCUGAGACGUUGUCUCAGUGGUUAUUGAAUAACCAUUUUAGGACCUGGAUGAGGAGCCUAAGGAGCAUGAAUCUGGUGAGGAGAUCUCUGUUGAGGAACCCGAAGAGGAGUACAUGGAGGAGGACCCCGAGGAUAACUUCGAGUACGACCCGGAUGAGGACUGAGAUCCUGUCCUGUCUUGUCAGACCUUGUGUGCAUGUGAAUAGAUGUUAGACCAGAGUUGCAUAUAUAUAGUAUUGUAGAAUACUAUGAGAUGCAUGUAAAAAGGUGUGGUUGUAAAUUUUCAGUAUGAAAAAUAUAUG
RNAcentral lists this long non-coding RNA (2497 nucleotides) under Eucalyptus grandis. RNAcentral's name for it is "long non-coding RNA (EGRA_LNC001179)". Lineage: Eukaryota; Viridiplantae; Streptophyta; Magnoliopsida; Myrtales; Myrtaceae. The record is from RNAcentral.